Molecule: ribosomal RNA, 253 nt
Filed under: uncultured bacterium
Lineage: Bacteria
Description: partial 16S ribosomal RNA
Rfam family: Bacterial small subunit ribosomal RNA
Source: RNAcentral
UACGUAGGGGGCAAGCGUUGUCCGGAUUUAUUGGGCGUAAAGAGCGUGUAGGCGGCUUUACAGGUCCGUUGUGAAAACUCGAGGCUCAACCUCGAGACGCCGGUGGAAACCGUAAAGCUAGAGUCCGGAAGAGGAGAGUGGAAUUCCUGGUGUAGCGGUGAAAUGCGUAGAUAUUGGGAGGAACACCAGUGGCGAAGGCGGCUCACUGGACUGGUACUGACGCUGAGGAGCGAAAGCCAGGGGAGCAAACGGG